AUACAGGUCUGUCAUUUUAUACUGUAGUUGUUGUAAAUGAGAAAAGGAUGUAGACUCUUGUAGAAAAGGUCUCCAUGGUCAAGAUUGAUAUGACUUCAAUCUAUAACUACAUGUCAGCUGAAUCAGACAUUCAUUUCUGGAAUGGCAGCUGAUAGAGAUGAAUGUCCCCAAAGGUCUCAGGUGAGGAAUGAUCCUCUUACGAAGACGUCGUUGGGGUUAGCUUUCACGUUAUGGUUUAGAUGGAUGACCCAAUGUGAAAAGCAUUUGUGCAAUUCCCGAACGAAAAUAAUACGAAUUUAAAUUAAUCGGAAAUUGGGUGUAAUCAACAUUUAAUCUGGUCAAAAUAUUAAUCAACAUAAAUAAUCGCUAUAUUGUGUGUUGGCCCGCAUUAUUGUGUUAUUGUUAUGUUAUUUUCCGUAUCUGAACCCAACAAUUGAAUGAUUUAUGCAUCGAAUGAAAAAUUUAUAGGCUCAGUUGGAAACUUUGUUGGAUGAAGAAUACAGGGACGUGUAUAAAACUACGAGGAUCUGCGACAGCAUAGCCAUCAAGCAAAAAUAACACCAAACUAUUCAAUAUUCCAUUGAAAUUGCUGUUUCUAAUGACGUCCAGUCAUAAAUUGGCGAAAAAUCAACUGAACUGGAACAAAUUAUCACACCAAGUUGACACUUCACAAUGACACAAAAAUUCAUCAUGUUCCAAACUAUGGAGAGUAAAAUUACAUCUGUCAAUUUAGAACUUCUUGGAAGAUGUAUACUUCGAAUAUAAUUAAGCUUUUCCGGGUGAUAUAGAUGAAAAAUUAUAAGUUUCAAACAUUAAUUGAUGAGAAAAAACGAGACUUUAAACUUUAAUUCAUCUCAGACCCAAGGUAACACAAUUUACGCAAUACAAGAAUCAUCAUUACUCCAAUGAAAAGAAAAAAAAAGCUAUGAGUAUUUCCUUCUAGAAAUUAAGCCUUAGAGAUAUCAUUCUAUUGAAGUUGAAAGGGCAAAGAACUAUUAGAAUAGAAGCAUUAUCUAAUACAGGAUAAUAUAUGAUUACAAUAAGAUAUUUGUUUUUACUGGAAAAUGACAAUAAAAUUUUUGCAAGUU
Long non-coding RNA from Harmonia axyridis, 1088 nucleotides. RefSeq lists it as uncharacterized. Lineage: Eukaryota; Metazoa; Arthropoda; Insecta; Coleoptera; Coccinellidae. The transcript has 2 exons. The record is from RefSeq and is a predicted model, not a curated record.